GCGUGGUACAUCAUAGAUAUUCAAUGAAGUUUUUUGGAUAAAGUAAUGAAAGAGUAAGUGGUACAAUUUGGAUCCCAGAGUCCCAAGGGUUAUUUCCCAUCUUGGUGAUCUUAGGAGAUGGUGUGGGGACCUUUAAGAGGUGGGGCCUAGUGGGAGAUCUCAGGUAACUGGACAGGGUGGCCUCAAGGGGCAUGGUAGGAAUCCAAUCCCGUCCCAUUGCUGUCUUUGGUGUCCUGGCCAUGAAGUGAAUGGUUUAGUCAUGUGCUCCCACUCUGAUGUGCUGCCUUGCCACAGGCCCAACUGACCACAGACAGCCCUCCAAAACUACCAGCGAUGUUAGCCCACCAGAGCAUGAAUCACGGAUCUAGAGAAACGCAACAUCGCCAUCAGCCCAGGUUCAAGGCGCAGAGCCACGCGCCCCGGUGGGAAGGGCUGCACUGUCGCACUUACACAGAUGACCCGCAGAGAUUCCCAGUUUCAAGACGCAACAAAAGGCCUCCAGGAAGUGAAGCCGGCAGCUCACUGCUAUGUGUUUAAACUGUAAUUUUCCACUGCCAAAACAAAGAGCAUCCAAAGAGUCCGGUGGAUUUGGGAGAAAAGCCUCCUUCUCCCGGAAGUCGGCCAGAGCCGAGGUCCCGGAGCUGCGCCGCCCCCCGGUUUCGCGGGGAGGCUGGGCAUGCACGACAGCCAAGGACGCCCGGGCUGUGGGGCCAGAGAAGUACCAGCAUGGCCUCUCAAGACCCAGAUGUAGAAGUUCUCACAGGUUUCCUUGAGAUUUGGACAACAAAAAAGGAGAGGGAAAGCGAGACAAAUUGGGAUAUUGCAAGACUGGUUACUGCCAGAGUUGAUCCAAGAAGUGCACAAGAGGAGACCUCCGGGCUGGCGUACCACCCCACCAACACACAGGAGGUGAGCCGCACGGGUGCCAGCAGCAACCCCCCCCCCAAUCGAAAUGAGAAGACACGUAAACAAGUCUCAAAACCAGCCUUGCAGAUCACCUACAGCAACUCCAAAGGGAAACGAGAUGGAACACUCUGAUACUCAACCACCUGGACUCCCUGAACUAGCAACAAAAGAGGAUCUGGAAAGAAUGAAAUCAGAAAUAACUUCUCAGAUAACAGCAGAGAUUGUGCUCAUAGUGCAAAACAUGAUUAAUAAAUCUAGAGAGGAGCUCAGGAACAUGAUGGAAUCCCAACAUAGGAAACAAAUGGAAUCCAUAAAACAGAUGCAAACAGAUUUCCA
Molecule: long non-coding RNA, 1242 nt
Filed under: Heterocephalus glaber (naked mole-rat)
Lineage: Eukaryota; Metazoa; Chordata; Mammalia; Rodentia; Bathyergidae
Description: lncRNA (ENSHGLG00100035110.1)
Source: RNAcentral